Molecule: long non-coding RNA, 421 nt
Filed under: Amborella trichopoda
Lineage: Eukaryota; Viridiplantae; Streptophyta; Magnoliopsida; Amborellales; Amborellaceae
Description: long non-coding RNA (ATRI_LNC000329)
Source: RNAcentral
AUAUCUUGUCAAGUGACUCAACCCUACGGCCGCAUUCUCAUGUGGUUGCUUCCUCGGGCUGCCAGUGUGGAAAAUUUUGGACACAAAAACAAGACCACGACAAGAGAGAGAAAGAAGGGAGAGAGAGGGAGGAGACAACAUGAGCCCUAGCUUUUUUGAAUAUCUAGAGAGAGAGAGAGAGAGGGAGGAGACAACAGGAGAGAGAGAGAGACCCAAUUUCUUGGAAUAUCUUGACGUGCUUCACUGGUUUGGUGGGAAACGAAAUGUCUUUGUCCGUUUCGGAAUUGGAUCCCCCGUAUCAUGAGACUAUUUAUUUUUGUUACACAAAGAUACAAUUACCGUGAUCAUUAGAUGUGACAUUCAAUAGAUAAAAUUACAUCAUAACAUUUAGAAAAAAUUUGUUUUGGACCCUAUGCUUAAG